Papaver somniferum (opium poppy) is the source of this 289-nucleotide long non-coding RNA. RefSeq lists it as uncharacterized. The record is from RefSeq and is a predicted model, not a curated record. Lineage: Eukaryota; Viridiplantae; Streptophyta; Magnoliopsida; Ranunculales; Papaveraceae. The transcript has 2 exons.
AGUAUACUGGUCCUGAUCAAAUUCAGAUGGGAUCGAUGUACCGGGAAGGUUCUUCUUCGCGGCAUUAGGAAGGGUGGUCUCUAUCAACUUGAUGUUUCAUCUCCAAUUCCUCAGGCUUACAUAGGAGAACGUGCUAGUUUACAAGCCUGGCAUGCUAGAAUGGGUCAUCCAAUGAUGCGCACAGUUCGCAAAGUUAUUUCUCAGUUUUCUCUUCCAGUUUCAAAUCAAACUAUCAGUUUUUGUUCUUUUUGUCAUGAGCAUAGAAGUCAUAAAUUACCCUUUCAAUCCA